Molecule: long non-coding RNA, 209 nt
Filed under: Mytilus galloprovincialis (Mediterranean mussel)
Lineage: Eukaryota; Metazoa; Mollusca; Bivalvia; Mytilida; Mytilidae
Source: RNAcentral
GAAUGGGUCAAGUAUUACAUGCCAGGUUAAGGAUGAAUAGUAGUUCUCUAAAUGAACAUUUGUUCAAACGAAAUCUAGUAGAUUCUUCAAACUGCUCGUGUGGUUUGAUCGAGUCUACAGCUCAUUUCUUAUUGCAUUGUAAAAAAAUAUGACGAAUUGCGUAAUGACAUUAUUUUCUCAAUUAAUUAUCCAGUCACACUAAACACGAA